AUUGAACGCUGGCGGCAUGCCUUACACAUGCAAGUCGAACGGUAACGGGCCUUCGGGUGCCGACGAGUGGCGAACGGGGGAGUAAUACAUCGGAACGUGCCCGAUCGUGGGGGAUAACGAGGCGAAAGCUUUGCUAAUACCGCAUACGAUCUACGGAUGAAAGCAGGGGACCGCAAGGCCUUGCGCGGACGGAGCGGACGAUGGCAGAUUAGGGAGUUGGUGGGGUAAAAGCUUACCAAGCCGACGAUCUGUAGCUGGUCUGAGAGGAUGAUCAGCCACACUGGGACUGAGACACGGCCCAGACUCCUACGGUAGGCAGCAGUGGGGAAUUUUGGACAAUGGGCGCAAGCCUGAUCCAGCCAUGCCGCGUGCAGGAUGAAGGCCUUCGGGUUGUAAACUGCUUUUGUACGGAACGAAAAGCCUUCUUUUAAUACAGGAGGGUCAUGACGGUACCGUAAGAAUAAGCACCGGCUAACUACGUG
RNAcentral lists this ribosomal RNA (482 nucleotides) under uncultured bacterium. RNAcentral's name for it is "partial 16S ribosomal RNA". It matches the Rfam family "Bacterial small subunit ribosomal RNA", at positions 30 to 507 of the family's 1533-position model. The record is from RNAcentral.